CAGCAGGCGAUCAUUUGCUGCAACUACAAACAGACGGGCCGUAUAGCUCGGAGUUGCAGAGAGAGCCGCAGCGUAACGUGUUGGGAAGGAGUGGAGGUGGUCUUGGCUUCCACACGUGGCAGGUGGGGUAGCAUGCCUCAACAGACAGGCGGUAGCUGCAGUGCAGUGAUGCCGUGUAUUUGUUUUGCUGCAAGAUAAGAACCACUAGCUAUUGUCUGACUCCGAAGCGGCUAGUAUUGGUGUACCUGAGUCAGGGCCUCUGCCAAGCUCUGGUAGACUUAAGAAACACAGUCGGCUAGGCACCACUGUCACCUGUGGAUGGUGAAGGAAUGCCGGAUGAAGCCGGAACAUCCAGUGGUGCACGCCAGCGCAGGAGUACAGAGGGCAGGGAACAUGAGGAUACAGUAUGGCCUUCGGAGUGGUGAUGCAGGAAGGAGGAUAGGAGGUCGCAUGUAUGUGGCUGUCACUGAUCCGAACUCUAUUGAAGAAUUGGCGACGGUGACGGCUAACGCUGAUUGUUAUUCCGGAAGGAUUGCCGGUGGCGAAGAUAUUUAGCACGAUAAACUGUUACAAGUAAUGUAAAGAGUAUUGUUAGCGUUCGGCAGGACUUGAGGAGAUUCCUGGUAGGAAUACCGAUCGUUGUGAGAUAAACUAAUAGGCGCAGUCACCGCCCUAAAU
This 678-nucleotide long non-coding RNA is filed under the name Volvox carteri. RNAcentral's name for it is "long non-coding RNA (VCAR_LNC000142)". The record is from RNAcentral. Lineage: Eukaryota; Viridiplantae; Chlorophyta; Chlorophyceae; Chlamydomonadales; Volvocaceae.